UACAGAGGUGGCAAGCGUUGUUCGGAAUUACUGGGCGUAAAGGGCGCGUAGGCGGCCCUUCUAAGUCAGACGUGAAAUCCCCCGGCUUAACCUGGGAACUGCGUCUGAUACUGGGAGGCUUGAGUAUGGGAGAGGGAUGUAGAAUUCCAGGUGUAGCGGUGAAAUGCGUAGAUAUCUGGAGGAAUACCGGUGGCGAAGGCGGCAUCCUGGACCAUAACUGACGCUGAGGCGCGAAAGCUAGGGGAGCAAACGGG
This 254-nucleotide ribosomal RNA is filed under the name uncultured bacterium. RNAcentral's name for it is "partial 16S ribosomal RNA". It matches the Rfam family "Bacterial small subunit ribosomal RNA", at positions 524 to 776 of the family's 1533-position model. The record is from RNAcentral.